This 397-nucleotide ribosomal RNA is filed under the name Reckertia sp. Its description in RNAcentral is "partial small subunit ribosomal RNA". It matches the Rfam family "Eukaryotic small subunit ribosomal RNA", at positions 582 to 975 of the family's 1831-position model. Lineage: Eukaryota; Cercozoa; Imbricatea; Thaumatomonadida; Thaumatomastigidae. The record is from RNAcentral.
AUUCCAGCUCCAGUAGCGUAUAUUAAAGUUGUUGCAGUUAAAAAGCUCGUAGUUGGAUUUCUGAUAGUAGCGUUGGGCCCGCCCGGGUUACCGGUGUGAGUGCCUGUUCGCUCCUUUCAUCCUUCUAGAGAACGGUUCUCUCCUUCAUUGGCAGUGGGAUCGCAAUCUAGAUCUUUUACUUUGAAAAAAUUAGAGUGUUUAAAGCAGGCUUGUGCUAUGAAUACAUUAGCAUGGAAUAAUAAUUUAGGACUUUAGUUCUAUUUUGUUGGUUUCUAGAACUGAAGUAAUGAUUGAUAGGGAUAGUUGGGGGUGCUAGUAUUCAGCGGCCAGAGGUGAAAUUCUUGGAUUCGCUGAAGACUAACUUAUGCGAAAGCAUUCACCAAGGAUGUCUUCAUUA